ACUGCUCAGUAACACGUGGAUAACCUACCCUAAGGAAGGGGAUAACCUCGGGAAACUGAGGAUAAUACCCUAUAGGUUACAGACGCCGGAAUGCCCUGUAACCGAAAGCUCCGGCGCCUUAGGAUGGAUCUGCGGCCGAUUAGGUUGUUGUUGGGGUAACGGCCCAACAAGCCGAUAAUCGGUACGGGUUGUGGGAGCAAGAGCCCGGAGUUGGAUUCUGAGACAUGAAUCCAGGCCCUACGGGGCGCAGCAGGCGCGAAAACUUUACAAUGCGGGAAACCGUGAUAAGGGAACCCCGAGUGCCUGUAUAUGCAGGCUGUCCAGGUGUCUAAAAAACACCUGAAGAAAGGGCCGGGCAAGACCGGUGCCAGCCGCCGCGGUAAUACCGGCGGCUCGAGUGGUGGCCACUUUUAUUGGGCUUAAAGCGUUCGUAGCUGGGUUGUCAAGUCUCUUGGGAAAUCUGACGGCUCAACCGUCAGGCGUCCAAGGGAUACGGGCAAUCUUGGAACCGGGAGAGGUGAGGGGUACUUCGGGGGUAGGAGUGAAAUCCUGUAAUCCUCGAGGGACCACCUGUGGCGAAGGCGCCUCACCAGAACGGCUUCGACAGUGAGGGACGAAAGCUGGGGGAGCAAACCGGAUUAGAUACCCGGGUAGUCCCAGCCGUAAACGAUGCGCGUUAGGUGUAUCGGUGACCACGAGUCACCGAGGUGCCGAAGGGAAACCGUGAAACGUGCCGCCUGGGAAGUACGGUCGCAAGGCUGAAACUUAAAGGAAUUGGCGGGGGAGCAC
This 789-nucleotide ribosomal RNA is filed under the name uncultured Methanoculleus sp. RNAcentral describes it as "bacterial SSU rRNA". It matches the Rfam family "Archaeal small subunit ribosomal RNA", at positions 85 to 879 of the family's 1478-position model. The record is from RNAcentral. Lineage: Archaea; Methanobacteriati; Methanobacteriota; Methanomicrobia; Methanomicrobiales; Methanomicrobiaceae.